This 485-nucleotide ribosomal RNA is filed under the name uncultured bacterium. RNAcentral describes it as "SSU rRNA". It matches the Rfam family "Bacterial small subunit ribosomal RNA", at positions 26 to 521 of the family's 1533-position model. The record is from RNAcentral.
AGGACGAACGCUGGCGGCGUGCUUAACACAUGCAAGUCGAACGCCGUCCAUUCGGUGGCAACACUGAUGAAGACGGAGUGGCGAACGGGUGAGUAACACGUGAGCAACCUGCCCCGAAGACCGGGACAACACCGGGAAACCGGUGCUAAUACCGGAUACCCCCAUUGGAUCGCAUGGUCCGAUGAGGAAAUGGAUUCCGCUUCGGGAGGGGCUCGCGGCCUAUCAGCUAGUUGGUGAGGUAACGGCUCACCAAGGCGUCGACGGGUAGCUGGUCUGAGAGGACGAUCAGCCACACUGGGACUGAGACACGGCCCAGACUCCUACGGGAGGCAGCAGUGGGGAAUCUUGCGCAAUGGGCGAAAGCCUGACGCAGCAACGCCGCGUGGGGGACGAAGGCUUUCUGAGUUGUAAACCCCUUUCAGCAGGGACGAUUGUGACGGUACCUGCAGAAGAGCACCGGCCAACUACGUGCCAGCAGCCGCGGU